CUGCUGUCGUACUGCGGGAGCGGAGAGGAAAAACUGCAGGAUGGACGACAAAGCAACGCAGGAGUCACAGUAAAAUGUAACGGGAUUGGUCGUCUUUGUGUCAGCACCAACUCAGGUGUAAGAGGAUUGGUGAAUGGCCCGGCUUCUGGCACAGGACAAAGACAGCUCGGCACAUUUGGAGACAGAACGGUGUCUCUUGUGAAGUUAAUGACCAGCGGAUUACCGACUGAGAGAGAGAGAGAAAUACAGACACAGCGAGACAAAAAGAGACAGACCGGGUGCACCUUUAAAUACCUCCAGACAGUGUACAUACCAUCUCCUUAUUGGGUGCCAGCAUCUCCUCUAUCAUCAUGCUGUCCCGUGUGAACGAGCUCCGGUUCAGCGUGUUGGACCUAUCAGAACUGAAGGAACGCAGGCUUGGUGUGGUUGCCGUAGCAGUCACGGAUUACCAAGACAACAGUCACAAUGAUGGAGAGAGGGGAGCCUCUUCAGUUUUGGCACCGGGGCUACUCACACCAAGCCAGCACACAAUUUGAUUGCCCCAAAGGCCUGAGUGAAGCAGGGCAGUUUGUGAAACAAUUACGCAGAUUACUGCAUGAUGGACUAUGGACACAGUACUAGGACCGGAAGCUUGUUUUAGCCGUCACGAUGUCAGCUGAUGUAAUUUUAUCUCACACUCAUCUUUUGACAGCAAACCCAUAUAAAACUGCAGAUUGUUCAAAAGCUGAAGCUUCUGUCCCAGUGCGUUUUUCAGUGACUGUACGCUGGGAUGUUGUUUGUGAUGGGGUUCGGAGAAAGACUUUUUUAUGAGGCAAAUAAAGAGCAUUCCUCCGCAGUGACAUGUGAUGACUGUUUUGCCUGCAACAUCAUCCACAAUUACAACGGCUCUAUUUAGCUCCACACAAGUAGAAAUUAGUCGCCUGCUCAGAGGAA
Molecule: long non-coding RNA, 933 nt
Organism: Xiphias gladius (swordfish)
Lineage: Eukaryota; Metazoa; Chordata; Actinopteri; Istiophoriformes; Xiphiidae
Exons: 3
Source: RefSeq, a predicted model, not a curated record